UGAGGAAUAUUGGUCAAUGGGCGCGAGUCUGAACCAGCCAAGUCGCGUGAGGGAGGACGGCCCUACGGGUUGUAAACCUCUUUUGCCGGGGAGCAACGGGCGCCACGUGUGGCGCCACUGAGAGUACCCGGAGAAAAAGCAUCGGCUAACUCCGUGCC
RNAcentral lists this ribosomal RNA (158 nucleotides) under uncultured bacterium. Its description in RNAcentral is "partial 16S ribosomal RNA". It matches the Rfam family "Bacterial small subunit ribosomal RNA", at positions 355 to 509 of the family's 1533-position model. The record is from RNAcentral.